Molecule: ribosomal RNA, 227 nt
Filed under: uncultured bacterium
Lineage: Bacteria
Description: partial 16S ribosomal RNA
Rfam family: Bacterial small subunit ribosomal RNA
Source: RNAcentral
UAGGCUUGACAUGCACGGAAAUCUCGUAGAGAUACGGGGUGCCUUUGGCGUCGUGCACAGGUGGUGCAUGGUUGUCGUCAGCUCGUGUCGUGAGAUGUUGGGUUAAGUCCCGCAACGAGCGCAACCCUCGUUCUAUGUUGCCAGCACGUGAUGGUGGGGACUCAUAGGAGACUGUCGGGGUCAACUCGGAGGAAGGUGGGGAUGACGUCAAAUCAUCAUGCCCCUUA